This 3599-nucleotide non-coding RNA is filed under the name Pongo abelii (Sumatran orangutan). Lineage: Eukaryota; Metazoa; Chordata; Mammalia; Primates; Hominidae. The record is from RNAcentral.
GGAAUUGGGGGUUACUAUCUUGGAAUCUGGGGGCACUCCAGGCUCUGGGCUCAGACGGCUGACUUCUGCCUACCCGAGCCUUAACCUUUCAAAGACCCGAAGGAUUCCAGAGCUCUUGCCCUAGGUCCUGGGGCAGCGAUGACUCACUGCAGCACCCCCUCCCACUUCGCCAAGCUGCCGUCUCCGCCCACCCCCAAACAAUCUCUACAGCGCAUUUCGGGAGCCACGGCUCCGGGCGCUUUGCUGGGGGCUAAAGGGGUUUAUCCCUUUCCUUGAAUCCCAGCAGGCUAGAACUACCCCCUCCCAGGCUUCAGGCUUGCCACGCUCUCCACCCGAUCCUUCCAUCGAAAGGCAGAAAAGGAAGGAUGUGCUUGGGAACUUUAAGACCCACGAACGACAGCGCACUGAUGGAGCAGCCCAGUGUCCGGGGCAACGUCCUCCAGGUUCAUUCAUUCAGGAAGCCUCUGUCCAGCCUUUACCAUGCGCUGAGUGAGAAGCUGAGGAUAAGGAAAGAUCAAGACCCCCAAGAAACCCUGAUGUCUGGCUGAAAGCCGAAGCAUGACACAACUUUGCUAUAUUUCUCUCCAACAAGGAUUUGUAUAUUUUCACUUUCUCCUCAAGUAACACCUGGACCUGCUCCUUUCCCUUCAAAUGCUGAGGGCUCAGUCUCCAAGUUCCUUUGUGAAACAGGGUGUACCAUCAGAGACGCAGGUAAGAAACCUGAACUGCAUGGCCUUACAUAAACCCCACCACACCUCUGUCCUGGGCUCCUUCCCUGCAACAGGUGUGAAGACAAAAGGCUCAUUGUCCUUUGGAGCCUAUAGGAUAAACAGAAAGAACAUGUCCUUGCUGGUUAAUCUGCCGGUGAUAAAGAGUAUUGUUUUAUCUCCUGCCAUCUCCAUGUUCCAAGAGAUGAAUUCUAUUGUGACACAAAGUCUGCUUUGUCCUUCCAACCCACUGAGAUGUUUAAAUUGGCCUUUCGUAUAUUCCUUGGUUGUCACAAUCAGAGCAAUGAGUUGUUAUAAUGUGUUGAGAGGAUCUUUCCCCCAUGACAAGGAGACCAUCAUCUACAGAGAUGCUAUGAUGCUGAGAAAUAAUGAGCUUCUUUUCUGCUCUAAUUUUUUUUAAUUAAGACUUUUAUUUUUUGAGCAAUUAUAGGUUUAGAGAAAAAUCGAAGGGGAAGUACAGAGCAUUCCCAUCUUCUCUCUCACCGCUUUCAUCUCUGUUUCCAUACAUUUGCUACAAUUGAUGAGCCAACAGCCAUAUGUUAUUAACUAAAGUUCACAGUUUACGUUAGGGUUCACUCUUUGCUUGUACAUUCUAUGGGUUUUGUCAAAUAUAUGAUAACCUGUAUUCUCCAUUAUAGUACAAUACAGAAGAAUCUCAUUGCCCUAAAUAUCUCCUGUGUUCCCCCUGUGCAUCCCUCCCUCCCACCCCCUGGGGAAAAACUGAUCUUUUUACUGUCUCCUGUUUUGCCCUUUUCAGAAUGUGAGGUAGUUGGGAGUCAUACAGCAUAUAUAUAUAUAUAUAUAUAUAAAAAAUAGCCUUUUUAGAUGGAUGUCUUUCACAUAGCAAUAUGCAUUGAACUUUCCUCCAUGACUUUGUGUGGCUCAAUAGUUCAUUUCUUUUUGUUGCUGAAUAGCUUCUGCUUAAUUUUCAAAGUGUUUAAUGUAAGAAAGCGGUAUAGUCCAGGUGCAGUGGCUCAACACCUGUAGUCCCAGCACUCUGGGAGGCGGAGGCGGUGGAUCACUUGAGCCCAGGAGUUUGAGACCAGCUUGGGUAACACGGUAAAACCCUGUCUCCAUAAAAAAUACAAAAAUUAGCUGGAAAUGGUAGUGUGCGCCUGUAGUCCCAGCUACUCAGGAGGCUGCAGUGGGAGGAUUGCUUAAGUCCAGGAGCUAGAGCCUGUAGUGAGCCAUGAUUGUGCCACUGCACUCCAGCCUGGGUGACAGAGUGAGAUCCUGUCUCAGGAAAAAAAAAAAAAAAAAAAAAAACCACCACCAACAACAACAAAAUGGCAGUAUAGUUGUCCCCACCCUCAUCUCUUCCUUUAUGGGUAUUUCCCUAAUUAUGAGAGAUUACCUGUGUUUUAAAAGGUGGCUUACUGUACGCAUUGAGAGAAUUAAAUGACAUUUCAGACCAGUUCCAAGUACCUUUUGCAAAGCUAGAGAAAUAAAAGUGAAUUAUAGUAUCUCAAUCAUAGCGUAAAACUAGAGAAGGUCUGUUUGGGCUUCAGGCAACAUUGGUGUUCUUGGCAAUUUUACCCAGAAGAAUUUAUAUUCCUAUAAUUAGUGUUUCCUCCAAAAUUAAUGAUCACCUGAUUGAUUUAUUUCUUUCCUAGCAGCACUGGAGGUCCCACUUACCUAGUUAGUAAUAACAUUUGCUCUUAAUACAUGAGUCAAACAGUUUUCUUUUUUCCUUUUUUUUUUUUUUACAUUUCCAAAACAGAAUACCCUGCAGGAAGAAUGGGAUGGCAGUGAAGGAGCUCUCACUCACGUAUCGUGUAAUGUGGGAGGCAGGGAUAUGAGAUAGUCAUAAAGGGUGCAGGCUUCAGAACCAAAUGAGUGUGGUUGGUGUUCCUGCUUACAUCCUACUAGCUGAGUGUCCUUCAGGUCAUUUCUCCUCUCUCAGACUGAGUGGACUGUUUCCUAAAGCACAGCUCAUAACAGGCUGUAAUAGUAAGACUGUUGGGAAGAUGGAAGGAGAUCAGUCAUCCCUAGAGAGCAUUAAGCACAGUCUCAGCCACAAAACACUUCCUCAAACACGAUGCAAGCCACAAAGGGCAUUUAGCCUGCGUAAAAAGGACAUACUGAGGACAGUGUAGAUGCUCACUAAAUUAGUCCUGACUGAUCAAGAGGGGAAAGAGAGGGUUAAUCUUAUCAUAUGUGGGCUCUCAGAGAACACAGAGCUAUAGAAGGAAGCUGACUUAAGGGUCAAGCAUGAUGGGGGAGAUUAGGAACUGUGUGCAAUCUAACGGAACCACAGAUAGCACUUCUAGUACUUUUUCCUUUUGGCCCUGCCCCUGCUGAGACAGGGCCACUGCUAAUAACUCACAUUCUUCUCUUCUCUCCUCUCAAAAAGCCCAUUUCCUGAGCGAGUAUAUGCUUUGGUAAGGUCAUUAGUGGUCAACAUGGUUCCCAAGUUUAGUGAAUACUUUCAGAUAAAACUGAAGGGUACAAAAUCACUCUUUCCUCUCUCCCUCUCCUUAUCCUACCUCUCACAAUAAAAUGACUUAUCUACUAAUUACAAAGACCUCAAUAGUGGAAGAAAUCCAUAUCCUACAUAACAUGGAGAGCUAGCUAUGUACCCUUGGCAUCACUUUUUAUCCUACUUUUACUUUUUACUGACUUUCAUUUACUGAACAAAGCCUCCUUUGCCAAAGGCAAGGUAAAUAAACUCAGUCACAUCCUGUCUUCCUUACAUCUUUGUUUAUCCACAAACCGUCGAAUAUACAGAUGAAAAUCCACUAAAGCAUGCUUGAAGCAGUUACACGAAGGCCAAAUAAGAUGGGAAUGGAAAUGCCUGAUGUUAAGGGAAGAUACUACCUAAAAUGAUACUGAGCUGGCCCGUGUAAUGACAUGAAAACAAAAAAAAAAACA